GGGUCUGGAGGUAAACCCUGCCAAUAGAUGAACUCAGAGAAUGUGUGGGUCUGGAGGUAAACCCUGCCAAUAGAUGAACUCAGAGAGUGUGUGGGUCUGGAGGUAAACCCUGUCAAUAGAUGAACUCAGAGAGUGUGUGGGUCUGGAGGUAAACCCUGCCAAUAGAUGAACUCAGAGAGUGUGUGGGUCUGGAGGUAAACCCUGCCAAUAGAUGAACAGAGAGUGUGUACUCUCUCUACAGAGUGAGGAUCUGUACAGGACCUCUUCUAUAACUGUGUGAUUGUCAGUGAGGAUUAUAUCUUCUUAUUAUUAUUAUAAAUUGGCCAUCCCCUGACCCCACUCACCUGGGUCGUGUUCAUUAGGCACCAAACGGACUGAAAAAGGAAGGGACUAUCUGGAUUUGUCCAGUGCUCAGAAACACUACUUUUCCAUUGCAAAACAUGUUUUUAUGUUUUCUGUUGCAUGUCCUAAUGAACACAACCCUGUUCAGGACAGGAAGGACCAUCAUCCCUACAGCCCCUCCAUAUCCUGGGCCAGCCCAGGGAGAAAGCUGAGUUACAGAGCAG
This 566-nucleotide long non-coding RNA is filed under the name Salmo salar (Atlantic salmon). RNAcentral's name for it is "lncRNA (ENSSSAG00000100976.1)". The record is from RNAcentral. Lineage: Eukaryota; Metazoa; Chordata; Actinopteri; Salmoniformes; Salmonidae.